GGAAUUGUUCGCAAUGGGCGCAAGCCUGACGACGCAACGCCGCGUGGAGGAUGAAGGUCUUCGGAUUGUAAACUACUGUUGCCUGGGACGAAUUGUUCGGGCCUAACACGUCUGAAUUUGACGGUACCAGGUGAGGAAGCCCCGGCUAACUCUGUGCCAGCAGCCGCGGUAAUCCCGAGGGGGCAAGCGUUGUUCGGAACUACUGAGCGUAAAAGGCGCGUAGGCGGCCCUCUAAGUCGAACGUGAAAUCCCUGGGCUCAACCCAGGAACUGCGUCCGAGACUGGGGGGCUGGAAUCCGGGAGAGGGAUGUGGAAUUCCAGGUGUAGCGGUGAAAUGCGUAGAUAUCUGGAGGAACAUCGGUGGCGAAGGCGGCAUCCUGGACCGGUAUUGACGCUGAGGCGCGAAAGCCAGGGGAGCAAAC
RNAcentral lists this ribosomal RNA (422 nucleotides) under uncultured bacterium. RNAcentral's name for it is "bacterial SSU rRNA". It matches the Rfam family "Bacterial small subunit ribosomal RNA", at positions 358 to 773 of the family's 1533-position model. The record is from RNAcentral.